Molecule: long non-coding RNA, 551 nt
Organism: Amphiprion ocellaris (clown anemonefish)
Lineage: Eukaryota; Metazoa; Chordata; Actinopteri; Pomacentridae
Source: Ensembl
CCCAGAGACUAUGGGUUGAGGAGGAAUUGGAAGUUUGUUGGCUUAGACCUGGUGUCAUUCCAUCAGUGUUAAACUUCCCGGCUCAUCUUGGAAGAGUACGUGCCAGAAAGACCACAACCAAGCUGCCUUGAGAUCUUAGACAGCGUCUCCCUGAGGUCCCUCUCUAUCUCCCCACACAUCCACCAACCACUGGAACACAUCUCCAAAGUUCUGCUGGACCAGCUCAGCUUCCCCUCAGAAGAAGUGCUGCCACCUGCCAGAUGAAGGAGCCUUUUGAGAGGCAGCUGGCAUCGUGAUUGGACUGUACUUUGGUCUGUUCCAAUCCAGCUUCAGCUCCAGAGACGGCAGGCGGGACGAGUCAACGGAGGCCGGAUGGACGAAGGCAUGCAGCUGAGUACAAUCCAGAAAACAACAGAGGAGGAGUGCAGCAGCCCAGAGCCAGAACAACCAGAGUAGCAUGACCAAAGAACUACAGACUCUUCACAACCUGCUCAAACUCUUGGUACAGGACCUCACCACACGGGUCAAGAAGGUUUCCAUCUCAUUUCUAC